UACGUAGGAUGCAAGCGUUGUCCGGAUUUAUUGGGUUUAAAGGGUGCGUAGGCGGCCUAUUAAGUUAGUGGUGAAAACGUUCGGCAUAACCGAAUACCCGCCAUUGAUACUGAUAGGCUUGAGUGCGACAGAGGGUGUUGGAAUGUGUGGUGUAGCGGUGAAAUGCUUAGAUAUCACGCAGAACACCAAUUGCGAAGGCAGAUGCCUAUGUCGUAACUGACGCUGAGGCACGAAAGCGUGGGGAGCAAACAGG
RNAcentral lists this ribosomal RNA (253 nucleotides) under uncultured bacterium. RNAcentral describes it as "partial 16S ribosomal RNA". It matches the Rfam family "Bacterial small subunit ribosomal RNA", at positions 524 to 776 of the family's 1533-position model. The record is from RNAcentral.